AACGAACGCUGGCGGCAUGCCUAACACAUGCAAGUCGAACGAGAUCUUCGGGUCUAGUGGCGCACGGGUGCGUAACGCGUGGGAAUCUGCCCUUUGGUUCGGAAUAACAGUUGGAAACGACUGCUAAUACCGGAUGAUGACGAAAGUCCAAAGAUUUAUCGCCAGAGGAUGAGCCCGAGUAGGAUUAGCUAGUUGGUGUGGUAAAGGCGCACCAAGGCGACGAUCCUUAGCUGGUCUGAGAGGAUGGUCAGCCACACUGGGACUGAGACACGGCCCAGACUCCUACGGGAGGCAGCAGUGGGGAAUAUUGGACAAUGAGCGAAAGCCUGAUCCAGCAAUGCCGCGUGAGUGAUGAAGGCCUUAGGGUUGUAAAGCUCUUUUACCCGGGAUGAUAAUGACAGUACCGGGAGAAUAAGCUCCGGCUAACUCCGUGCCAGCCGCCGCAGUAA
Molecule: ribosomal RNA, 449 nt
Filed under: uncultured bacterium
Lineage: Bacteria
Description: partial 16S ribosomal RNA
Rfam family: Bacterial small subunit ribosomal RNA
Source: RNAcentral